This 444-nucleotide ribosomal RNA is filed under the name uncultured bacterium. RNAcentral describes it as "partial 16S ribosomal RNA". It matches the Rfam family "Bacterial small subunit ribosomal RNA", at positions 338 to 795 of the family's 1533-position model. The record is from RNAcentral.
CCUACGGGAGGCAGCAGUGAGGAAUAUUGGUCAAUGGGCGUAAGCCUGAACCAGCCAAGUCGCGUGAGGGAUGAAGGUUCUAUGGAUCGUAAAGUUCUUUUCUAAGGGAAGAAGAAAGUGACGGUACCUUAGGAAUAAGCCUCGGCUAACUACGUGCCAGCAGCCGCGGUAAUACGUAGGAGGCAAGCGUUAUCCGGAAUGACUGGGCGUAAAGGGUGCGUAGGUGGUUUGACAAGUUGGUAGCGUAACUCCGGGGCUCAACCUCGGCACUACUACCAAAACUGUCGGACUUGAGUGCAGGAGGGGCAAAUGGAAUUCCUAGGGUAGCGGUGGAAUGCGUAGAUAUUAGGAGGAACACCAGUGGCGAAGGCGAUUUGCUGGACUGUAACUGACACUGAGGCACGAAAGCGUGGGGAGCAAACAGGAUUAGAUACCCGGGUAGUC